Molecule: ribosomal RNA, 550 nt
Filed under: uncultured fungus
Lineage: Eukaryota; Fungi
Description: eukaryotic LSU rRNA
Rfam family: 5.8S ribosomal RNA (bases 198-351)
Source: RNAcentral
CGUAACAAGGUCUCCGUAGGUGAACCUGCGGAGGGAUCAUUACAAGAACGCCCGGGCUUCGGCCUGGUCAUUCAUAACCCUUUGUUGUCCGACUCUGUUGCCUCCGGGGCGACCCUGCCUUCGGGCGGGGGCUCCGGGUGGACACUUCAAACUCUUGCGUAACUUUGCAGUCUGAGUAAACUUAAUUAAUAAAUCAAAACUUUUAACAACGGAUCUCUUGGUUCUGGCAUCGAUGAAGAACGCAGCGAAAUGCGAUAAGUAAUGUGAAUUGCAGAGUUCAGUGAAUCAUCGAAUCUUUGAACGCACAUUGCGCCCCCUGGUAUUCCGGGGGGCAUGCCUGUUCGAGCGUCAUUUCACCACUCAAGCCUCGCUUGGUAUUGGGCAACGCGGUCCGCCGCGUGCCUCAAAUCGUCCGGCUGGGUCUUCUGUCCCCUAAGCGUUGUGGAAACUAUUCGCUAAAGGGUGUUCGGAAGGCUACGCCGUAAAACAACCCCAUUUCUAAGGUUGACCUCGGAUCAGGUAGGGAUACCCGCUGAACUUAAGCAUAUCA